AUAGAAUUAUUGCUGCGGUUAAAAAGCUCGUAGUUGGAUCUGUGCCAUAGGACGUGGUCCACCUUCGGGUGCGUACUACGCUCCUAGGCUUUUUGCUGGUUUUCCCGUCGUAGCCUUCACUGGUUGCGGCGGGUGGCUGGCGAGUUUACUUUGAGAAAAUCAGAGUGCUCAAUACAGGCGUAUCGCUUGAAUGAUUGUGCAUGGAAUAAUAGAAAAGGAUUUCGGUCCUCUUUUAUUGGUUUUGUGGACUGAGAUAAUGGUUAACAGAGACGAACGGGGGCAUUCGUAUUGCUGCGUGAGAGGUGAAAUUCUUGGACCGCAGCAGGACGGACUUCAG
This 337-nucleotide ribosomal RNA is filed under the name uncultured eukaryote. RNAcentral describes it as "SSU rRNA". It matches the Rfam family "Eukaryotic small subunit ribosomal RNA", at positions 601 to 945 of the family's 1831-position model. The record is from RNAcentral.